Molecule: ribosomal RNA, 253 nt
Filed under: uncultured bacterium
Lineage: Bacteria
Description: partial 16S ribosomal RNA
Rfam family: Bacterial small subunit ribosomal RNA
Source: RNAcentral
UACGGGGGGGGCAAGCGUUGUUCGGAAUUACUGGGCGUAAAGGGCUCGUAGGCGGCCAACUAAGUCAGACGUGAAAUCCCCAGGCUCAACCUGGGAACUGCGUCUGAUACUGGAUGGCUUGAAUCCGGGAGAGGGAUGCAGAAUUCCAGGUGUAGCGGUGAAAUGCUUAGAUAUCUGGAGGAAUACCGGUGGCGAAGGCGGCAUCCUGGACCGGCAUUGACGCUGAGGAGCGAAAGCCAGGGGAGCAAACGGG